Gopherus evgoodei (Goodes thornscrub tortoise) is the source of this 99-nucleotide long non-coding RNA. RefSeq lists it as uncharacterized. The record is from RefSeq and is a predicted model, not a curated record. The transcript is spliced from 3 exons. NCBI's taxonomy places the organism in Eukaryota, Metazoa, Chordata, Testudines, Testudinidae.
AAUACACUUAAGAAACAGGUUACAAAAUGUAAUUUCUUACCGUAAAUGUUAUUUUGGGCAGAUUGUAAAGUUUCUGUAGCUUAGGGCAGUGGUAUCCAA